AGCGAACGCUGGCGGCGUGCUUAACACAUGCAAGUCGAGUGCGUAGCCCUUUGUAGCAAUACAGAGGGUGGGCGCACGGCGCACGGGUGAGUAACACGUGGGUAACCUGCCCUUCGUGGGGAAUAACCCGCGAAAGCGGGGCUAAUUCCGCAUAACAUUCCGGGGACACAUGUUCUCGGACUCAAAGGAGUGAUUCGCCGGAGGAGGGGCCCGCGCCCGAUUAGCUUGUUGGUAGGGUAACGGCCACCAAGGCUUUGAUCGGUAGCCGGUCUGAGAGGAUGGCCGGCCACACUGGAACUGAGACACGGUCCAGACUCCUACGGGAGGCAGCAGUGGGGAAUCUUGGGCAAUGGGGCGCAAGCCUGACCCAGCGACGUCGCGUUGGGGAAGAAGGCCUUCGGG
Molecule: ribosomal RNA, 402 nt
Filed under: uncultured bacterium
Lineage: Bacteria
Description: bacterial SSU rRNA
Rfam family: Bacterial small subunit ribosomal RNA
Source: RNAcentral